This 442-nucleotide ribosomal RNA is filed under the name uncultured bacterium. Its description in RNAcentral is "bacterial SSU rRNA". It matches the Rfam family "Bacterial small subunit ribosomal RNA", at positions 335 to 769 of the family's 1533-position model. The record is from RNAcentral.
ACUCCUACGGGAGGCAGCAGUAGGGAAUCUUCCACAAUGGGCGCAAGCCUGAUGGAGCAACACCGCGUGAGUGAAGAAGGGUUUCGGCUCGUAAAGCUCUGUUGUUAAAGAAGAACACGUAUGAGAGUAACUGUUCAUACGUUGACGGUAUUUAACCAGAAAGUCACGGCUAACUACGUGCCAGCAGCCGCGGUAAUACGUAGGUGGCAAGCGUUAUCCGGAUUUAUUGGGCGUAAAGAGAGUGCAGGCGGUUUUCUAAGUCUGAUGUGAAAGCCUUCGGCUUAACCGGAGAAGUGCAUCGGAAACUGGAUAACUUGAGUGCAGAAGAGGGUAGUGGAACUCCAUGUGUAGCGGUGGAAUGCGUAGAUAUAUGGAAGAACACCAGUGGCGAAGGCGGCUACCUGGUCUGCAACUGACGCUGAGACUCGAAAGCAUGGGUAGC